Molecule: small RNA, 1070 nt
Filed under: Diaporthe amygdali
Lineage: Eukaryota; Fungi; Ascomycota; Sordariomycetes; Diaporthales; Diaporthaceae
Description: eukaryotic LSU rRNA
Rfam family: Eukaryotic large subunit ribosomal RNA (bases 499-1070)
Source: RNAcentral
GACGCGCCUCGGCGCACCCAGAAACCCUUUGUGAACUUAUACCUUACUGUUGCCUCGGCGCAGGCCGGCUCCCAUCUGGGGGCCCCUCGUUUCUGACGAGGAGCAGGCUCGCCGGCGGCCAAGUUAACUCUUGUUUUUAAUUUGAAACUCUGAGAAUAAAACAUAAAUGAAUCAAAACUUUCAACAACGGAUCUCUUGGUUCUGGCAUCGAUGAAGAACGCAGCGAAAUGCGAUAAGUAAUGUGAAUUGCAGAAUUCAGUGAAUCAUCGAAUCUUUGAACGCACAUUGCGCCCUCUGGUAUUCCGGAGGGCAUGCCUGUUCGAGCGUCAUUUCAACCCUCAAGCCUGGCUUGGUGAUGGGGCACUGCCUUUGUGUAAAAGCGAAGGCAGGCCCUGAAAUUCAGUGGCGAGCUCGCCAGGACUCCGAGCGCAGUAGUUAAACCCUCGCUUUGGAAGGACUGGCGGUGCCCUGCCGUUAAACCCCCAACUCUUGAAAAUUUGACCUCGGAUCAGGUAGGAAUACCCGCUGAACUUAAGCAUAUCAAUAAGCGGAGGAAAAGAAACCAACAGGGAUUGCCCUAGUAACGGCGAGUGAAGCGGCAACAGCUCAAAUUUGAAAUCUGGCUUCGGCCCGAGUUGUAAUUUGCAGAGGAUGCUUCUGGCGCGGUGCCUUCCGAGUUCCCUGGAACGGGACGCCACAGAGGGUGAGAGCCCCGUAUGGUCGGACACCAAGCCUGUGUGAAGCUCCUUCGACGAGUCGAGUAGUUUGGGAAUGCUGCUCUAAAUGGGAGGUAAAUCUCUUCUAAAGCUAAAUACCGGCCAGAGACCGAUAGCGCACAAGUAGAGUGAUCGAAAGAUGAAAAGCACCUUGAAAAGGGGGUUAAAUAGUACGUGAAAUUGUUGAAAGGGAAGCGUUUAUGACCAGACUUGCGCCGGGCGGCUCAUCAGGGGUUCUCCCCUGUGCAUUCCGCCCGGCUCAGGCCAGCAUCGGUUCUCGUGGGGGGAUAAGACCGUCGGGAACGUAGCACCCUCCGGGGUGUGUUAUAGCCCGGCGGACGAUACCCUCGUGGG